CGGCCUCCACGGCGGCUCUUCCAAAGUUCCUAAGCUAGAAGAAAAUUUAUAUUGUGUCUUGUAUCUUGGUUCUUCAUUUCCCUAAAGAAUAAUUUUUCAUGCCCUAUUUAUAGACAUAGAAACUCUAAAUAAAUAAUUAAGUACAAGACAAAUUAGAAAAACAAAACCCAAUUAAAUUGGGUUUCCAAUUGCUCGCUGGAUUUCUUCAAAUUGUUGGCGGCAAAGGGGCGGUUAGCUAUAGACACGUGGCAGCAGCGAGCCAAAUUCAAUUUGAAUUGGCAAUUCGUUCACAUUGGCCUCAUAUGUAUAAAUAUAUUAUUUUAAUAAAUUUAAUCCAUUAAGUUGUUUGUUGGAUUUCCUUCUUCAACUUUCCAUCUUUAAUUCGUUUUAGCUCCAAACUUCAUCAUUUUUCACCAAUUUAAUCCUACACAUAAAAUACACAAUUUAGUACAAUCCAUAAAAUUCAUGCUCAGAAAGGACAAAUAUAAAUAAUAAAUGUGAGGAAAUAAUGAUUAAAAAUAUGUAUUUUUAGCCUCACAUCAUUAAUUUACUUUUAGUUUUUAUAGCGACAUAAUUAUAAAUCCAUAGCUAAUCCAUCGUUAUAUAGCGACGAAAAUAUGUUUGUUGCUAAAAUUCAUCACUAAACGCUGAUUUUUUUGUAGUGAUAUUUUUAUAUAAAAAUGUGGAUAAAUUCUGCAGGCUCUUCUAUACCCAUAUAUCUGUCAUUAGACGUGUAACAAAUUAACUGAAUAGCUCCAAGGUUUGACAAGUUCUGAAUAUCCCAUAUUUUGCACAUUUUAUCCUAGUUCAAAUUGCAAACGUUAGGCCAUCAGGAUGCCACCUUGAUGCAAAUGAGUAGUCCACAAGUCCACACAAAGGAUAAAAAAAUACUUCCAUUCCUACAGUCAACCAAAAAACCUAUCACGAUCAACAAGCAAAAAACAAGCACCAUAAAUCUUCUCCCCAAGAUCAAUUAGUUGGAGUGUAAUAUGUCGUAUCAACAAAGAUAUGAAGUUUAUUACAUAGAAGAUGACUAUGAAAUGGAAGAACUAGAUUAUUUUGUUGAUGAGUUCCAAGGCGUAGACUUGGGUGGCUUUGAUUCGGUUGAAGAUGAGUUGCACGGCAUAGACUUGGAUGACUUUGAUUUGGAUGUAGAUGAGCUCUUAGACGUAGGCUUAGGUGGAUUUGAUUCAGAUGUAGAUGAGUACGAUUACAUGAAUAAAAGAAUGUAAGAUAUUUUGGCUACAGAGGUAAGGAAGCGCAAAGAUAUUAAAGGGAUCCCCUAGAAAGGGAGACAACUAAGCAAAGAAGACUACAACGCUAUCAGAACUAUGAAAAUAUUCCUCACUCUGGUUAGACAUCAGAAAAGGAGUGCAAAACCACGAAGAAAGGUAAUUUAAACUAUCAUUUCAUAUGGAAAGGAAGAUUCAUAACAUCAACGUCCUCUCAUCCCCCGCUGAGGAAUUUGGUUUGGAUACCUUUUAACCAUGAUGAGUGCAUGAUGUCUAAUUUUUUCAGUCAUCUGUUGCACUAACGUCCUCUCAACCCCAGUUGUGGAAGUUGGUUUGGGCACCUUCGAAGCAUGAUGUGUACCUGAUGUCUCAUUUCUUUGAAAUUCAUUGUUCAAUUGAUUUGGUGAAAACUGAAAUUCUCAAUUUAUCAAGGCAUGUAGCGCCACUCUUGAAAAAUCUUUAAAUCCUUUUAGAGGGAUUUAGGGAGAUCCUAGAAAGCACUCUUGCCGUAAAAGAUAAGUUGCUUUUUACUAGCGGAUUGCAAGGAGAACUUAUUGUCAAGUAUUUAGAUAAGCUUGGAGUUUUCUUUUGUUCUCGUUGACCUAAGUCGAGGAUGUCAUUACCACUGCUAUUGAGAUUAAAAAAAACUGCCGGAGGUGCACUUCAUUUUAUAGCUUCAAAUAAUGAUUCUAGAGUUAGAGAUUUUGAUUUCGAGAAAUUUUAAAUAUCUAACCAUUUCCAUUUUCCCGAGCCAGUGAAUCAUAGAUCACUCAGUCCUGAUGACAAUCUCUAACUCCAGGAUGGCAUCACUGGCCAGGGAAAUUGGAAAUGAUUAGAUAGUUGAGAUUUCUCCAAAUCGAAAACUCUAACUCUAGAAUCAUUAUUUGAUGUUAUAAAACAGAGUGCACCACUGAUAGUGUUGUUAAUGUUAAUAGCAAUGGCAAUGGUAUAAUUGUUAUACGUUGGUCAAGAACAGAAGCAAACUCCAAGAUUAUCUAAAUACUUGACGAUUAGUUCUCCUUGCAAUCUACCAGCAACAAGCAACUUAUCUUUCACAACAAGAAUAAUUACUCGUGUCUCUGUAAAUCACUCUUAAAGGCUUCCAAGUUGUUUAUCGAGUGGCUCUACAUGCCUUGAUAAAUGCACAAUUAUUGUUUUUGUGCAGGUCCAUGAUGACUAGUGAAUGAUAUAAAAAUGAGACAUCAGAAGAUGCCUCGACAAAAUUCCUCAGUUGGGGGUGAGGAAAUGUUGAUAAAGAGGAUCUUGUAUUCCAUAUGAAAUCAUUGUACAAAUAGUCACCCUAUCCUAGAAAGUUGCCGGAAAUUGACGCACAUUGCUCUGUCUAGCUGUGUUUUCUUCCCCUGAAUAUGGGGUUCAUACAUAUAUUGAUGGCUCUACUUUUAUUAAUAUAACCAUUGGCCAACUUGGUGGCAUAUAUUGGUUAUAGUCGCCUGCCAGCAACGAUAGCUAUUUGAUUCUCUAUCCGGAUCGUAGAAGCUCCAUUACAAUUUGAGAAUUAUUAUUGAAUUGCGUAUCUACAUUAUUACAUUGAGAUCAUAUCUAUAGAUACUACAUUAGACUCCUUUCUCGACUAGGAAAGUACAGCACUAUUCUUUUCCAAGUAGGAUUAUAUAUUUUUAUUUUUAUUUUAUGACUGUUAUGAUCGGAUCAUCUUUCAUGCACCCCGACAAAAUUUACAAGAGACCUACCACCUCCCUAGCAACAAGUAUCAGGUAACUCUGUUCACUAAGGCUAGUACAGAUGGAAUGAAUCAGCUACUGUUUUUAUCUCUGCUGUGGUUUGACCUUAAGACGUAGGAAUCUCAACCACUUCAUUGACCACUCGGCCACACCCUAGGGUACCAAAUAGGAUUUUAUAUACUAAUCCUUUUCCAAGUAGGUGGCCUGUGUUAUAAAGGAGACCACACUCAGUUUUGUCAUCCAUUCUACCCUCAAAGUGCUUAUAUUAUUUCAUCAAGAUAUGAAUAGUUGUGUCAUCACCCAAACUCAAGGAGGCUACUAAAUAUGUGAUUCCACACGCCAAUGAUAAGGGACUCUCUAUCAGGACUAAAAGACACUCGUGAUAUCUCACCAGAGAAAUCAUUUUCUUAUUCCACCUCCUAUCCACAUUUAACAAAAAAUAAUGUAAAAAAAUUCUAUAAGCUCAGCCAUACCCAUAAAUAUUUCAUCACAUGUCUAGCAGAUUGACCGAAAGCUCCAAAGUUACCCUUCAAAGUAGAGACUAACUUAGACAAGUUUUGAAUAUCCCAUAAUUUGCAUGUUUUAUUAUGGUCCUCAUUUGCAGACGUUAGGCCAUCAGGAUGUCACGAUAAUGCAAAUGAGUAGUCCAUAUGUCUACAUAAAGGAGAAACAACCUUUCUAUUCCUGGAGUUAAUGAAAAACCUAUCGCGAUCAAUGGCGGAUCCAGGAAUUAAGCUCAAGGGGUUCGAAAUUUAAAGAAGAAGCUCAUGUGGUAAUGUAAGUGCGCGGUGAGCGUAGUAACCCCGACAUGCUUUUUGUACAAGGUAUCUCAUUGGUUGAUAAAAGUUAACACUUCUUAAAAUUUCUUGUACUUUUUAUACUUUUAUUUUGUAAUGUUUUACUUUAUUUUGCAUUUUAAAUUUUUUUGAAUUAGUAUCCAUUCAAACACAUAUUACUAGGAAAAUUCUCAAGAUUCUCUAAAAGUGUGUAAGUAUAGAUUUACUAAUAUUAUAAUGCAUAUUCAGAAGAUAAAUAAAUGGCAUCGUCAAUUUUUUAGUUCAUGUAGUUUAAUUUACUAGGUUAGUCAUCACUUGUUGAAAAAAAUGACGAAUAAAUCAAAUAAGUUUUGUUUUCAUCUCUCUAAAAUAGAAUUGGAAAAAUAGAAAAGAAAUUCCAUGAAUUCUAUUAAAUAUAUAUUAUUAAAAGGAUAUUGACGAUUUUUAGUUUCUUCAUUCAAUUACAUCUAAUUUAUCUUUAUAUAUAUAAUUCAUCAUUUUUAAAGAGUUAUACAUAAAAUUAUAUUGAAAUAAAAUGACUAAUAGAUAUAAGAAGAAUUAAAAAAAAUGUGUCUAAUAAAUUUAAACAAAAACAAAUUAGAAAAAAAUGACAUAAAAGAAAUAAUGAAAAAGAGAAGCUGAUCCAAACCCAAAAAUUGUCCCCAAUUCCAUGAAUUAAAAAGGGUAAAAAAAUAAGAGAAGAGGAAUUGAUGCGCAUGGGAUUCGAACUCACGACGUAAAGCCACUGUUGAACCCCUUAUCCAUUGAGCUAAAGCUUCUCACUUAUUAUCAGAGGGUUCAUUUUAAUAUAUGUACACAUAAAAUCAGAAUUUGGCCCUAUAUAUAUAACGUAAUUUUUCAACCAAGGGGGUUCACCCGAACCCCCCCUAGACACUAAAUUUCCAUCUCAAGAUCAUUUAGUUGGAGUGUAACAUGUCCCAUCAACAAGGAGAUGAAGCCGAUUACGUAGCAAAUUAAUAUGAAAUGAAAGAACUAGAUGUAUUAAUUGAUUAGUUCCAACGCGUAGACUUGGGUGGCUUUGAUUCGGAUGUAGAUGAGUUGCAAGGCAUAGACUUGGAUGACUUUGAUUUGGAUAUAGAUGAGUUUCUAUGCAUAGACUUAGGUGACUUUGAUUCAGAUGUACAUGAGUAUGACUACAUGAAUAAAAGAAUGCAAGAUAUUUCGGUUGUUGAGGUAAGGAAUGACAAAGGUAUUCAAGGGAUCCCUAAGGAAAGGGUUACCAUAACUAGGGAGACAACUAGGCAAAGAAGACUACAACGCUAUCAAAACUAUGAAAAUAUUCCUUAAUCUGGUGAGAUAUCAGAAAAGGAGUGCAAAACCAUAAACAAAGAUGAUUUAUACUAUGAUUUUAUAUCGAAUGCAAGAUCUAUUACAUCAACGUUUUCUUACCCUAGCUAAGAAAUUUGGUUUGGGCUCCUUCUAAGUAUGAUGUAUACCUGAUGUCUCAUUUUUCUAUCAUUGAUUGGUCAUCAUUGACAUGUGCUAAAACUGAAAUUCUCAAUUUAUCAUGGGAUGUAGCGCCACUAGAGAAUCAUCCUGAAAGCUUUUUAGAGGAAUUGAAGGAGACAUUAGCAAGAACUCUUGUUGUGAAAGAUAAGAUUUUUGUUACUAAUGGAUUGCAUGGAGAACUUAUCGUCAAGUAUUUAGAUAAGACUUGAGUUUUCUUUUAUUCAUGCCAACCUAUGUCGAUGAUGUCAUUACCACUUCUAUUGAGAUUAACAGCACUGUCAGUGGUGCACUUCAUUUAAUAGCUUCAAAUUAUUGAUGGCAAUCUUUAACUCCAGGAUGACAUCACUGGCUAGGGGAAUUGGAAAUAAUUAGACUAUUGAAAAUUUUCUCCAAAUCAAAAAUCUCUAACUCUAGAAUUAUUAUUUGAAGCUAUAAAAUGAAGUGCACCACUAAUAGUAUUAGUAAUCUUAAUAGCAGUGACAGUGGCAUCAUCGUCAUAUAUCAACCGAGAACAAAAGCAGACUCUAGGAUUAUCUAUGUUCUUGACGAUUAGUUCUCUUUGCAAUCCUCUAGAAACUUACUUUUCACAGUUAGAGUGCUUACUAGGGUCUCCGUAAAUCCCUCUAAAAGGCUUUCAAGAUGUUUCUCGAGUGACGCUACAUGACCUGAUAAAUUGAAAAUUUUAGUUUUUGCACUGGUCAAUGAUGACCAGUGAAUGAUAGAAAAAUGUGACAUUAGGUACACAUCAUGCUUAGAAGAUUCUCAUACCAAAAUUCCUCAGUUGGGGGAGAGAUAAUGUUGAUGUAAUGUAUCUUGCAUUCCAUCUAAAAUCAUAGUAUAAACUGUCUUUCUUUGUGGUUUCUCUCUUUUUCUGAUGUCUCACCAGAUUGAGGAAUAUUUUCAUAGUUCUGAUAGCGUUGUAGUCUUAUUUUCCUACUCGUCUCCCUGGUUAUGGUAACCCUUUCUUAUGGGAUCCCUUGAAUAUCCUUUACCUUCCUCACCUCGACAGCUAAAAUAUCUUAUGUAAAGAUAUGACACCUGGGCCUAACUCAACCCCAAAACCUAAUUCAUGAAGGUAGGUUUGUCCAAGUCCACAUAAGGAGACAAAUUUUCCAUCCCUCUACCAAUGUGAGACUUCUUAACAUCUUGGAUUCUUUUGUUCAUGUAUUCAUACUCAUCUACAUCCUAACCAAAGCUAUCUAAGUCUACGGACGCUUUGGAAAUCAUCUACAUCCAAAUUAAAGUCAUUCAAAGUUUAUGCCUUGCAACUCAUCUACAUCUUAAUCAAACCCACCCAAGUCUACGCCCUAGAACCCAUCAAUAAAAUCAUCUAGUUCUUCCAUUUCGUAUUCAUCUAAUACAUAAUCAACAUCAUCUACUUGUUGAUGGGACAUGUUACACUCCAACUAAUUAUCUUGGGGCAAAAAUUUAGGGUGCCUAUUUUUCUCUUGUUGACCACUGUUGGUUUUUUGGUUGACUCCAAAAAUGGAGAAGUUGUUUAUCCUUUGUGUGGACAUGUGGACUACUCAUUUGAAUCAUCUUGGCAUUCUGAUGGCCAAACGUUUGCAAGUGGGAAUAAAUAUAAAUGUGUAGAAUAUGGAAUAUUUGAAAACUUAUCCAAGUCAGUCACUACUUUGAAGGGUAACCUUGGAGGUAUUUGGCCAAUCUGCUACAUGUCUGAUUACAGAUUUAUGUGCAAGGUAGAGCUAGUAGAAUUUUCUAAUCUUUUUUAAUGUAAAAUGUGGAAAUCAUAGUAAAAACAAGCACCCUACCCUAGAAAGUCUUCAGAAAUUGACGCACGGUGAUCUGUUUGGUUGAGUUUGCUUCCCCUGAAUAUGGGGUUCAUGCAUAUAUCAUUGGCUCUAGUUUUUUUAACAUAACCAUUGGACAGAUGGGCAGCAUAUAUUGGUCAUAGUCGUGUGCUAGCAGCAGAAGCUUUUUGAUUCUCUACCAGGAUCGUAGAAUCUCUAAUAUAAUUUGAGAAAUAUUGGAGAAAAUAUUAUUGAAUUAUGUUUCUACAUAAUUACAUUAAGACCCUAUUUAUAGAUAUUACAUCAGAUUUCUUUUUCGACUAGGACAUUACAGUACAAUCAUUUUUCAAGUAGGAUUCUAUCUUUUUUUUAUUUUUUUUAUGAUCUGGUGUUCGGAGUAGCUUUCGUACACCUCGACUAAAUCCACGGAUUAACUACCACCUACUCUUUCCACCAAGGCUGGGGCCUAAGGUUCUCAACCACUUCAUUGACCACUAGGUCACACCCUUUUGUUCCAAGUAAGUGGCCUAUGCUAUAAAGGAUACCACACUAUGUUUUAUCGUUCAAAUGACUAGAGAUCUUCUAGCUUUCAAAUAGCAUGAUAAAACAAAUAUUAACCUAUAUAUAAUCAUCUUCUACCUUCAGUGUGCUCGUAUUAUUGCAUCAAGGUAUGAAUAGUUGUAUGGUCACCCAAACUCAAGGAGGCUACUAAAUGUGUGAUUCCACAUGCCAAUGACAAGGGACUUUGUAUUAGAACUAAAAGACACUCCUCAUAUCUCACCGCAAUAAUCAAUUUCUUUCUCCACCUCAAAUCCACAUAUUACUUUAAAAAUGCAGAUAAAUUAUACAAGCUAUGCCAUGCCCAUAAAUCUGACAUCAGAUGUGUAGCAGAUUUAUCGAAUAGCUCCAAGGUUCCUCUUGAAAGUAGUGAUUGACUUGGACAGGUUCUGAAUAUCCCAUAUACGGCAUGUUUUAUCCUAGUUCCAAGUUUCAAAUGUUAGGACAUCAGGAUGUUGGCUGAUGCAAAUGAGUAGUUCACAUGUGCACACAAAGGAGAAAUAGCCUUUCCAUUCCUGGAGUCAACCAAAAAACCUAUCACGAUGAAAAGGAAAAAAGCAAAGACCCUAAAUUUUCGCCCCAAGAUCAUUAGUUGGAGUGUAACAUAUCCCAUCAACUAGGAUAUGAUGUUGAAUACGUAGUAGCUGAAUAUGAAAUGGAAGAGCUAGAUGAUUUGAUUGAUGAGUUCCAAGGCAUAAACUUGGGUGGUUGUGAUUCAGAUGAAGAUGAGUUGCAAGAUAGACUUGGAUGACUUUGAUUUUGAUGUAUAUGAGUUCCUAAGCAUAGGCUUAGGUGGUUUUUAAUUUGGAUGUAGAAGAGUUUGAGUACAUGAAUAAAAGAAUGCAAGAUAUUCCGGCCGCUGAGGUAAGGAAGGGCAAAGAUAUUGGAGGGAUCCCGUGGGAAAGGGUUACCAUAGCCAGGGAGACAACCAGGCAAAGAAGACUACAACGCUAUCAGAACUAUGAAAAUUUGCCUCAAUCUGGUGAGACAUCAUAAAAGGAGUUCAAAACCACAAAGAAAGACAGAUUAUACUAUGAUUUCAGAUGGAAUGCAAGAUCCAUUACAUCAACGUUCUCUCACUCCCACUAAGGAAUUUAGUCUGGGCACCUUCUAAUCAUUAUGUGUACCUGAUGUCUCAUUUUUCUCUCAUUCAUUGGUCAUCAUUGUCCUACGUAAAAAAUUAAAACUCUCAAUUUAUCUGGGAUGUAGCACCACUCGAGAAACAUCUCAAAAACCUUUUGGAUGGAUUUACAAAGACCUGAAAAUGUAUUUCUGUUGUGAAAGAUAAGUUGCUUGUUGGUGGUGGGUUAUAAAGAGAACUUAUCUUCAAGUAGUUAGGUAAGCCUGGAGUUUGCUUUUCUUCUCGCUGACGUAUGAUGAUGAUACAAUUACCACUGUUAUUGAAAUUAAUAACACCGCCAGUGGUGCACUUCAUUUUAUAGUUUAAAAUAAUGAUUCUUGAGUUAGAGAUUUUGAUUUGAAGAAAUUUCAAAUGUGGAACCGUUUCCAGUUUCCCUAGCAAGUGAUGACCUCCUGGAGUUAGAGAUUGCCAUCAGGGUUGAGUGAUGUAUGAUUCACUGGCUGGGAAAAAUGGAAAUGGUUAGACAGUUUAAAUUGAUCCAAAUCGAAAUCAUUAACUCCCGAAUCAUUAUUUGAAGCUAUAAAAUAAAGUGUUGCACUAGCACUGUUGUUAAUCUGAAUAGCAGUGGUAAUGACAUCAUCGAGAAAUGCUGGCGAGAACAAAAGCAAACUCUAGGCUUAUCUAAAUACUUGAUGAUAUGUUCUCAUUGCAAUCCACCAGUAAUAAGUAACUUAUAUUUCACAGCAAGAGUUCUUACUCGAGUCUCCAGAAAUCCCACUUAAAGAUUUUAUGAAUGAUUCUCGAGUCGCGCUACAUGCCCUGAUAAAUUGAGAAUUUCAAUUUUCACGUAGGUCAAUGAAGAUUAAUGAAUAAUGAAUGAUAGAAAAACAAGACAUCAGGUAUGCAUCACACUUAGAAGGUGCCUAGACCAAAUUCCUCAGCGGGGGCUGAGAGAACAUUGAUUUAAUGAAUCUAGCACUCUAUCUGAAAUCAUUGUAUAAAUUGUCUUUCUUUGUGGUUUUGCACGCCUUUUUUGACGUCUCACCAUAUUUAGUAAUUGUUUUCACAGUUAUGAAAGCAUUGUAGUCUUCUUUGCCUAGUUGUAUGUAACGACUCGGAAAAUGAUAGGUUGAACUAGAGCCUAAUCGUGAGGGUAAACGUCAAGGUACGUGUUAGACUCCGUAGUUGAAGGACCCUUUUUAGGUUUGGUAUGGGAUUGCAAGGGCAUGUGCCAAGGCAAGGGGGGCAAAGCCUAGCCAAAAGCCAAGGCUACCCAACCCUUGACCAAGCACUGCCAGGGUUCACGACCAGUUGCAUUGACCACGGUCCGUGAAGGGGUCCGUGAAGACCCCUUUGGCCUUGUGGGAGAUGAGUUAAGUUGAAGAGGCUAAUGCCUCAAAGACAACAGGCACCACCACGAGCCGUGGUACCCUAGACAGUUUGUAUAAGUGGUCGUGAAGAUCACUUGGUUGCAUAGGAAGCAAGGCAACUUGGCCAAGCUACUGCCUCUAUGACCACGACCAUCACCACAACUCAUGGUCUUGACCACGGAUCGUGGGAGGUCUCGUGGUCUUCCCUUAGGCCCUUGAGGGUUUGGAAAGGUGGAGAGUCACACUGGUCAAGGGACCACGGGCACCACCACGAGCCGUGGUGCCCCUCACGACCCGUCAAAAUGGGUGUGGUCCCUGACGGGUCUGCCUUAGUUAGGGGUUUUUUUGUAAUUUCAUUUUAAUUAAUUAAUGUGUGGGGUUGUUUUUAAUUGUUUUAUAUCACUAUUAUAUAUAGUUUUAAGUCUUAAAACAAGUCAUUUACUCCUUAUUUCUCCAAAAUCCAAAUCAAAACAAAAGAGUUCCUCCUUUAAAAAAUUCUCUCUCUAGAAGUUGCCAAAGAAGAAGAAGAAAAAGGGGAGCUAGGGUUUGUGGAUUCAAGGUGUUCUUCCUCAAAUUUCUUGGGGCUUUACAAGCAAGGUAUGGUUAUCCUUCAUCUAGGGGUAGCUUUCACCCCUAGAGUCCAUUCAAAGUUAGUUUUCAAAGUUUUCAAGUUUCCCAAACACCUAGGGUUUUACUCUAACUCAUGGGUUCCUUCUUCAAACGUUAUCAAAUAGUUAUUAAUGAUAAAUUCUGAAUGUAUUAGUUUUUAAUUGAUGAUUUAUGAUGAAAAUACUCUAUGAACCCAUGAAUUCUCUCAAAUUCCUAAAUUGUGCCUUUAUGAUGUGGGUUUGUUGAUUAUGAAAGCAUGUGAAUAGAAUUUGUCUAAAUUACUUUAGGUUAUUGAAUUGUAUCAUUAUCCAUGCCAUAAUUUUAGUAAAUUGUUGGUGUGUUGGUGAUUUGAGAUUCAUGGCCUUGAAGGGCAUAAUAUGAGGAAUUGAGUAUUAUCAUGAUGUCUUGUAUAUGAAUGUGAAUCUAUUGAAGGUAAUAUGAUCUUGUCUUGAAUGUAAUUGUGUUAUUAAAUAAAGGCUAUUUCUCAAUUUAACACUCAUGAAUGAUGAUGAUAGAAUGUGAAGCUAUAUCUUGAAUUGGUAGGCUUAUGCAUCUUUUUUUGUAUAAAUGAAAGUAAUGUGGAUUGAUGGGUCUUGAAUUGGUAGGCUUAAGGCAUCCUUUUCUUGUAUUGAUAAAAGUGACCUUGAAUGUAAUAUCACCCUUUCAUGAUGAGGCUAGAAACUAAUGUGAUGAUAAACCUUCAUUCGGUAGACCUAGUGUUGGUAACCCUUUCAUGUGUGAAAUGAUGAACCUUGUAUCGGUAGACCCAAUGUUGAUGGCACCCUUCUUGGAAAGUCAAUGAGUUAUCCUUAAUGUACCUUGAAUCGGUAGACCUAAUGGUGGUGGCCCUUUCUUGUGUAAUGUACUUGGGUCGGUAGGCCUAAUGUUGGUAGUCCUCUCAAGUACAAUAAUGUUAAUGAAAAUGAAAUACUCUAUGGGAAUGGAGGCUAAGCACCGAGUGGCCCAUUGUUGGUGGCCCUUCUUGGGGAUUCAAUGAGUUAUCCAUGUAAUGUACCAUGAAUCGAUAGGCUUAUGGUAUUCCAUUCAUGUGUAAUAUACCUUGGGUCGGUAGGCCUAAUGUUGGUAGUCCUCUCAAGUACAAUAAUGUUAAUGAAAAUGAAAUACUCUAUGGGAAUGGAGGCUAAGCACCCAGUAGAUAUGGUAAGAUUGAAACUCUCCCAAUGUUAGGCUACGGUUCCAAUGAACAUUUUCAUAUCCCAUAACUAUGUGCCCACAUAGGAUAUUAGCUAGUGGUUUCGACCUACACUAAAAUGUUACCAGUCCUAUAUUAGGCAAGUAGACCACCUCUUUAUGGUGUGGGGCUAUAUGACACUAGAUUCCAUGGUUUGCUCUCAUGGUCUAUGUCGGUUAAUGCCUAUUCCGAUCAUGUGAGAUGUGCAUUAUGGUUUCUUGAGAAGUUCUAUGAAGUGUGGGUGGUACUAUAGGAUGCCAUACAUGCAUUGCAUGAGUAGGCUUUGAGAGGGUCAUAGUGAUUCUCUAAUGUCUUAAUCACUAAUGAAUGAAAGUGCUCUUAAUGGAGCUAAUGAAGAAUGUUCACUUAAAUGUCUAAUGUGUUGAUGCAUGCUAUAUUUGGGUUGUAUUAUGAGUUAUUUUCCCUUGUAAUGACUUAUGAAAUGUAUGUGUUCCUUAUGCAUGAGUAUUGAUUGAAGACAAGUCUGAAAUGGUAAGUUCAUCUAAGGUGGCCUCAACGUGGCACUUAGUAGGGAUAGUAGUAUGGGAUGAUAUCAUUACACUGCACAAGUGUAGCUUAGGGCUACUUAAGGUGAAUGUUCAAAUGUGAUGAUUAUGACUUGUAUGAUGAUUAUACUUGUAUUUUAUGUCUCUUAUGCUAAUGUACAUGAUAUUUCUAAAAAGUGGCAUAAUGCAUGGUUUCCGACCAAGAUGUCCCUUUAAAAGGUUGUUUUUGCAUGGUCAUCAUACUUAGUACAUUUUUUUGUGCUAACCCAUAUUUCUCUUAUUUUACUACAAGUGUAGGUUCCGGCAAGUGAGUUGCUAUCCCUUUAGUUCAAGUGCUUGGAUUGAGUUCUUGCAAGGCGAUUGGUAUGUCCUCAUACAUUCGAGGACACAUAAUUUAGAUGUUUCUUUCUUUCAUGCAAUAGACAAUUGUUAGACUUUCAAUUUUAAAGGGUCGUGUCCCUACCUUUGUUUCAAGAUACUGUUUUAGAUGGCCAUGUGAGAUAAUAGACUUUCGUUGUUUCAAAUGUUUUAAAUGAGUAUUUUUUUUAUUGUAUGGAUUUAAAGAAUUUUUUUAAAUUCCGCACUAUUUUUAUGUAUCGAAUGUUAUGAAUGCUAAAAGGGUUGUACGUGACCCCUUCGGGGUCAAGUAUGCCGUGUAACUUCUAGGGUAUAGGCUCGGGUCGUUACAUUGUCUACCUGGUUAUGGUUGCCCCUUCCCAGGGGAUCCCUUCAAUAUCAUUGCCCUUCCUUACCUCAGCAUCCGAAAUAUCUUGCAUUUUUUUAUUCAUGUACUCAAACUCAUCUACAUCAGAAUCAAAGCUACCUAAGUCUACACCUAGGAACUCAUCUACAUCCAAAUCAAAGUCAUCCAAGUCUAUGCCUUGCAACUCAUCUACAUAGGAAUCAAAGACACCCAAGUCUACACCUUGGAACUCAUCUAGUUCUUUCAAUUCAUAUUCAUUUGCAACAUAAUCUCCUUGUUUAUGGGACAUGUUACACUCCUAUAAUUGAUCUAGGGGUGAAACCCUUCCCUAGAAAGUCUCCAGAAAUUGACGCAUGGUGAUCUCUCUGUCUGAGUUUUCUUCCCCUAAAUAUGGGGUUCAUGCAUAUAUCAUUGGCCCUUGUUUUGUUAUUAACAUAACCACUAGUCAGAUCGGUACCAUAUAUUGCUCAUAGACGCCUGCAAUAGUGGAAACUCUUUGAAUCUCUACCAGUAUCGUAGAAGCUUCGAUACCAUAUGAGAGAAAAUAGAGAAAAAUAUUAUUGAAUUGUGUAUCUACAAUAUUAGAUUGAGACUCUAUUAUAGAUAUUACAUUAGACUCUUUUUCCGACUAGGACACUACAUUACAAUCCUUUUUUCAAGUAGUAUUUUGUAUUUAUUUUUUUAUGUCAGCGGCGUCAGACCAACUUUCAUGCGCCUCGACUCAUUCCAUGGGAUACCUAGCACCUCCCACCAAUAAUAGGUAUCAGGAAACUCUGUCCACCAAUGCUAGGACAGAUGGGAAGAAUCACCUAGUAUUUUUUGUCUGCGCUAAGUUGUGUUGUCCAGCGGAGCCUAGAAGAAAGUGACUCGCACAGAUAGCCAACUACUUUUAAAUAAAAAAGAAUAGUCAAACCAAUCCAGUUGGCUGGUCAAUCUCAGAGAUUUUAUCAACCGGCAAAUUAGGGACGGACGACCACGAGUGGCCGAUGAUGUAAAAGAUAUGCCAGAAGCUAGCCAACUCCACUUUCUAACGAGGUUAGGCGUGGACUAGAAAAUGAAAACUACUAAACAUGGGUCUCAUCGAAUGGAAGUUCGGAGAUGGAGAUCCGAUUUGGCACAAAAUCAUUAAGGUUUGGGGGGCGUUGGUCAAAGUAAAGGGAAGAUCCUGCUUCUGGGAUGGAGUUGUAUGACGCGAGAGUUUCACGUAUUGAUCUUUUGGGAAGAGUGUGAUACCACCACCUAUCAGACCCAACGAGCGGUCCAUGGAGCUGCAUUCCUACUCACCUAGUCUAUGCACAUCGCUCUCUCCAGGAGGUUGGCCAUCUAUCCUAGAUCUUCCCAUUUUAGAGCAGAUCCCGAACUCGAUCUGGACUGUUGCAAAUAAGAUAUAUCAUCACGUCUUUGAUGGGAUUCUAUAUCAUUUCCCUAUUUGGUAUUGUUCCAUCUGAGCUCCUACUCCUGGACCACUAUAUGAAUCAACCUGAUAAGGACCCUGAAUUGAUGGAAUUCAUAUGACAAUGCCUACAAACCAGGGGACUUUCACUUGAGAGUACGAUGUCAUGGUGUGAAAUUUCUAGGAAAUUGUGACCACAUUUCUCUGGAAAUUGUGACCACAUUUCCUCUCUCUUGACCAGACAACAAUAGUUCUGGAGCUUUUUUCAUCCAAGAAAGUGAAAAUAUUCAACUGAGAAGUUCUUGUUGCUAAUAUUUUCCCAUCUGGCUUGACAGAAACCCACAAGAGUAACCAGUUAAUGCAGAAACAAAUUAAGCAUAGAAUGUUGCUUGCUACAAGGAGAAAACCACUACAGGAAUGCUAACACUAGGUAGACACAAAUGGAGUAAUGACAUGUAUUCAGAACAUUUGUGAUCAAGUAUGACAUGAGAAGAAUCUUGCUAACUCUUAGCAAAGGGGAUCUGGUAUCGUUGUUGGGAGUACCCAUUUUGCAUUACAAAAACUAUAGACAGGCUAAAAGAUACCAAUAGUUCAGUAACUCGUCUAGAUUGACUUAAAUGCAAGAUUCUCAAAAUGUAACCAUCAUCAAAGAUAAUGAAAAUGUAGGUAUAAACCUAAUGAAAUAGAUAAAGAUGAUAUUGCUUUAGUGGAAGCUUUAAACUUGUGCAGUAAGUUCCCCGACAUGGAAUCAAUUUUGCAAACCAGUCCAUCAACACCAGCCGUAAACAAACGAACCAUGUGAAGGGAAUGGAUCGCAUUGACACCGCUGCUCACAAAGGUAAAAUUUUAAUCAAGGCUUAACCAAUCGAUGACCACCUAAAGUUGGCACAAAUUUUCACUUAAACACCUUAAUUAGGCUUUGUGCAUUCUAGACACCUCAUGUCAUGCCCCGUUGUGUAAGUUUGACACUUUUUGCUGAUAUGACAUAAUGAGUGAGAUACACUUACUACCAGCGCGUGAAAAGCUUAUUAAAUUCAUUUUUAUUUCAUUUUUUUCAUCUUCUUCACCAUUUUUUAACCACCAUCUCCCAAAACUUAAACUACUUCCACGGAGAAGUAGAUUUGAUGGUGCUAAUUAGUUAAAACAAAAACAACCAACAUUAUAGUAGAUCAGGCUAUAAUUAAUUUGAUUUAUGAAAAAACAUAGAACCAAUGGAGAAAAACAAUUAAGAAAGAUUGAACAAGAAAGUCUUGCGUCUUAAGUGAAGAACUAACAUAUACUUGAAAGAAAAAAUUUCACUGAGAAAACGAUUUGGGCGGCGGAGGGUGGGGGUCAGGUGGUGGGGGGAAGACGAUUUGGAUGGGGGAGGGGUUUAGGGAUUGGGUGGUGGGAAAGGGCUUGGGGAUCGGAUCUGGGGAUGGGGUUACUGGAGAAGAUAAUUAUUAUAGGCUGCGUUUAAAAAACAAUUGGGUUUAAAAACGACAUGUGUCAUUGAGUGAUUGACCAUUUUUUUCUAUACAAAUUUCAUUAUUUAAAAAUUAUUUUUGACAUAUAUGCCAGGUGUCUUUAUUUAAUUUGUCACUUUGACAUGUACUCGCGAGUGUGUUACACACACCUUACACAUUUGGUUGAUUGUCAAAAAAGUGUCAAAAAGACAUAACGGGGUAUGACAUGAGGUGUCUAAAAUGAACAAAUCCUAGUUAAAGUGUCUAAGUGAAAAAUUGUGCCAACUUUAGGUGGCCACCGAUGGAUUAGGCCUUUAAUCAACGCGGGGAAGACAUGCCAUAUCAGAAUCUUAAUAUAUGAUAAGAUUUACAAAAAUAUAGAAAAAUUUACCUUUGAACUGUGAGAACGGUGAAUGUAAAAAGACCAGAGAAAGCUUCAAGAUGGAUAUAGUACAAGAGGUGUGAUCUAUAGGUCAUUACUACUUCUGCUAAUACGUUUUAUCACUAAGAGUUCUUCUUCACUUUUACAACUUCAGGAUUCCAAGAAACUAGAGUUGCAACAAAAAGCCAUAAAUUGAGGAAGUCACAACAAAAGCACUAAGCAACUAAUGACAACAUAAAAACAAGAGUGAAACAUUGUAAAAUUUUAUUUUUAUCAUAAAUAGCAGGGGUGGACAAAUUCAUCCAAAAUCUCCCUUCUUCUAAGUAGGACGCAUGUGCUAGACAUCAAAACUUAGCUAGGCAGAUGGGCCUUCACUAAUAUUUGAACUUGAGAAAUCAUGAUUCUCCUCUAAAUUCAUUGAACACUAGGCCACACCUUGAGUGCAUGUGCCUCUAUAUAUGUACUUGUUGACUUGCGAUCGAAAGUUGUUUUAUGUUUUCUUCAUAAUAUGUCAUACACUUUGCAUGCAUUUACAUGUUUUGGAACUCACGUUAGGUGCUUUAUGGAUUGUAUAUGCAAACACAAGUAUGAAGACAAGUCAGAAGGACCUCACAGAGCCAAGCCCACACCGAGACCUAGAGGCUUACGGCACCAGUCCCAGUGCGAGUUUUGCACCCAGCAGGUGCAUUCCCAUGGCGAGCAAAAGAGGCUUGCGGUGCCAAUGCUAGGGCGAACCCCAUUGCUUCACACCGCAAGGUGCAUCAAACGUGGACAAUGGAAUUUUCCUAGUUCGAUUUGGUGGGCCCUUUUCUGUAUUUUAAAUACUAUAAAUAACCAUACUUAGUCUGUCUCGAUUACCAUUGGUCGGUCUGCUAUCCAGUACAAACCUUUGUCCAAGUAAUCUUGAAUUAGAUUCUUGAAAUGUACACAAUUAUUUGUAGAGUGAGUCCAUUUCUCAUGCCAUUUUUAGGAGGAGACGACUAUUGUGGAAGCACAUAGCAAGAGCAAAGGAAAAAUUCUCCUAGGGUUAACUGUUCUUCUCUUUACUUAGAAUUAUUUCUUGUUUGUAACAUGAAUUAUAGCUUUUGUAAUCAGAUUGGAGAGGCUAAAAGCCCUCUUUCUAGGGUUAUGGCCAUAGUAUGAACUUCGUCUUGUAUUAUAUAGUUGUUAUAGCGAUUUUCUACCAUAUAUUUUGUUCUCUUAAUCUUAUACUUACUAUUUAUGUUGAUUUGUGAUCAAUAGGAUAAAUGAAUAAUCUCUAAUGGAACUUGAGAGAAGAAAGUUGGAGAUAGAACUAGAUUAAGGGGAGUAGGACGCGUUCUGUGAAACGGAUUUGCAGCUAGGAUAGUUUGUCCUAAUUGGCUCCCAUAUAGGAGAUAUAAAUGCAUUCAGAUUAGUUAUGUCCAUCAUCACUUAAAAAUAUAGGUGUAAGGCUAAUCUGGGUAGACAGUUAAAGGCUCGAGAGACCAUGACUAUAAUAUCAACUUUGUGAGUCAGCAAAAUGGUAGAAAUUCGCAUCGCAAUUGUAUAUAAAUAUGAAGAGAUUACACAAGCACCAUAGCCCAAUGUAUUAUCUUCUCUAUGAACAACCUCUAUGAUAUCAAUCUUAUUUACCUGUCUCAUUUUAGUUAUAAUAAAUAGUGUAGUAUAGUAUUGAAAAGUUUGAGAUAUUUUUGUUAUUUUUGUUGUUACAGGUGUUAAUAGAUUGAUCUUAGUUGUUGUGGGUAGAUGACAAGUUUUAUGCAAAACUCUGACAGGAGGCAAACCCCUCAAAAGUUGAAGGAAACCUAUAUCCAUUCCAACUGAAACCCAAAAGGUUCCUUUAUCAGAGGUUGAAGGAGCAAGCCUGGUUGCAAGUACAACGCAACCCACCACUUGCAGUAGUGGCAGCUCAACCACAAGCCCCAAUCGCAAUACGCGAAGUAGAAAUCCCACUAGUAGAAAAUGUAAACUAUAAUAUUAUAAAACCUAACAUUACUGGAAGAUGGGAGCUGAAGUAGAAUACGGUGCAAUUAUUGCACACAAACGAGAAGUUCACAUGCUUACCAUAUGAGGACCCAUAUGCUCAUCUCUAGAAUUUCCUAUAGAUCGCAAAUACUUACAUCUCUAGAAUGUCUGAUCGGAAUGUGAGACUCACUUUGUUUCUGUCCUCUCUGUUAGGGGAAGCCGAGAGGUGACUUACAGUUGAACCUACCAACUCUAUCACUUCAUGGGCUGAUUUAGCAAAAAUGUUUCUUACAAAGUUCUUUCCAUCUGGGAAGAGAACUAAAUUAAGGAGUGAGAUCUUGGAUUUUAGGUAGAGAAGAGGUGAAGGCUUUCCCUAAGCACGACAGAGAUUUAAAAUGUUGUUCAGUGAGUUCAACAAUCUCAGUUGUUCUGUUGUGGAGGUGAUAAUUCAACAGAUAUUUGUAGAGAUAACCCAGAAUCCAUACAUUUUGUGGGAAACGCAAGUAGAGGCACAAGAAACCAAAAUUUUGGGAACAACUACAGCCCGAUUGGAGGAACCACCCAAAUUUCUCAUGGUAAUAUAUCAUUCGGGGACAACUAGAUGAGAUCUGAUUACCGGAGGCACGGAAUACUAGGGCCCAAGGAGGUCUACCUAGCGAUGUAGAUCCUAAUCCAAAACCAUUUAAUGUUGUGGUUACAAAAAGAGGUAAGGAUUUGGUUAUAGAGUACCAGAAAGAGGAGAAUUGUGAAGCAACCUACACUGGCAGUUGCUAGGCCUCCUCCAUUAGGAAGAAGUUUGAUAUUUUUUUUUACAUGUUUUUCUAGUUAAAAUUUUCCUAGUUUAAAAGUUUUCUAAUUAAAAAUAGGAUUUGAAUCAUAUUAUUUGGAAUAGGUUUCCCCUAUAUAUAGGGGGGGAUUUUGUUAUUUUCAAAAGACUUGAUUAAUAUUAUUUGAGAGGUUUCUCUUCUUUACAACUUGAUGUAUGGUGACUAUAGAUUUAUCUUACAAUAUUAUAAAAACGAUUCUUUAAAAGGUAAGAUUAAUUCUUAACUUGAUAUCUUUUAUUUCUAUUAAAGUAAUUAAAGAAGGUAAUUAGUCUUAUACUAAUCAUUGUCUCUAAUUUCUUCGAAAUAGGGGUGUAGAUCACUUUUGAUCUAAGUUCUUGAAUUGACUCUUAUAAUAAUUAGUCUCCACAAAUUUUGAAUACUAAGACACUUAGAGUUCUUAGCGCUUAAUUUUGAAAUUUGAGGAUUUUAUUCUCGAAUUUUACAUAUAUUUCAAUUCCUAUUUUUCAUCUUUGUAUUUUCACUUUCACAUUUUUUUCUUAUUUAUUAAAGUAACCCAAUUCUUAUCAUUGAACCCUAUGGUUUCUCUAUAAAUAGUCGCCUAGUCAUUUAUAAUAUGGGUUCCACAAUUCCUGAUUAACACUCAAUACCUACAAUUUUUCUUAAGCUUAAACUAUAAAGCAUUUUGUUCUCAAGUUCACUCAGACUAAUCUAGAUUCUACCUUCAACUAUUUAUUAUUGAUGCACUCAUUUAUGUUCAAUUUGUCGUCAUCUAACCACACUUAGAAAUUCAAUUGUACCAUUUUACGAGUUAAUAAAUCGUCCAAAAUGAAAAAAGAAAAACUAAAAGGCACAACAUAUACAUGCAGAAAACAAAGUCCAACUUUCCUUCCCCAAAUUCUAAGUUGUUAGGUAUAAACUAAAUUUAUGAUAAUUUCUCACCUCGUCGCCCUCUCUCACACUCAAGGUAAUGCUGCAAGAUACGAUUUUUGUUUGGCACUUUUCCCGCCUCCAGAGUCAAUUUCACUAACUUUUGGAGGUAAUAUGACAACAUCAAUUCUAUUUUCCUAAAAGUUAAAGUUGAAUAGCCGCAAACUAUACAAAAAUUAUAAUUAGCUACAAUUAUUCAAGUACGGAAAAAUGGUGAAAAAAAAUAAUUAAUGCGAAUGAAUGAAAAAUAUUACCUUGAUACGGCCAUCACCAAAGAUGAUAGCAAAGAAGUCCAAAGAGGGACUGAAACAAGUCAAGAUGUCCCUAAUAUUUGAUGUUCCCAUUGUUGAAACUGAUGGUAAGAAGGCCUGAAACGAAGCUAAUUAGGUUAAAACUUUGGCUUGUGGUGGUCUGUUGGGUGGAAAAUGGGGGUGCCACUGAAAAGAGUGAAAUAACAAGGAUUUAUACUUGCGCGUUGAAAUAAUGUGGCUUCGAAUUUUUGUUUGUAAUUUUUGGGUUGUGUGUGCGGGUUGGGUUGGUGGGUUGCAUUUUAUUUAUGUACUUAGCUCUUGUUUGGGUGUAAAUUUUGAAGUUGAAACUUGAAAUUUGAGUGUUUUGAAUUGAGGUUUUGUGAGUGGAAAUUCAAAAAAUUCAAACACUGUUUUGGCUUUAUUUUUUGGAGCUUGAGAAUAUUUGAAGAUCGAAUUUUCAAAAAUCUGAUCAUAUUUCAUAGUCAAACAGCCAUAUGAAAAUAAAUUUGAAAAAUUUACUCCCAAAAUCUUAUUGGAAAUCUUAGGAAAUACUUCAUCACAGAAUUCUUUUAAGCUUGAGGCAUGUAAAAAAUACCGUCUUUAAACAUACUUCAUCCAGUAUAUAUAUAGCCCUUAAAAUUCAACAAACUCUUCUAAUAUAGACCAAGAGGCAACAUCUUAAAAAAAUGAAAUAGAAAAGAAAUUCACUAGAACAUGUGAAGAAGUAAUAUGUUUAUAUCUCUCUUUCUCCCCAAAGAGAGAGGAUAUAAUAUAAGUAUAUAUAGGUGUGAAGAACUCAAAAUGAUCACAACAAAAUUUCAAAAUCUAAAUAUUUACUGCUACUAGGAAUUAAUGGUUCAAGGAUUUAAUUCUAAGAUGAUAAAGGCUAAUAAAGAUUGGAGUAAAUGAGAAAGGUAAUAGGUAAUAAUGGGAAAAUAUUAUAAAUAUCAAUUGCAUCAUUAAUAGUUGAAUCAAAAGUAAUGACCAAUCAAUGAUUGUUUAAUGGAUAAACAUAAAUAUUAGUCAAUGAUCUUUUCAAAUGUACUUGUAGAAAAAAUAAUUCUUUUGAGAUAUUAAAUACUCCCUCCGUCCCAAUUUAUAUGACACUUUUUGGAUUUCGAGAUUCAAACAAGUCUAUCUUUGAUUGUAAAUUUUUCAUAUAUCUUUUAAUUAUUUUGAAUAUCCAAUUAUUGUGAUUUAUAGUACUUUUUACGUAGUUUACAAUUAUAUAAAUUUUAUUUCAAAAAAAAUUGAGGAUUUCAUGUGCAAAUUUCGGUCAAACUUAAAUUGUUUGAUUUUUAAAAAAUGAAAAGUGUCACAUAAAUUUGGACAGAGUGAGUAACAUUUUUUUCAACAAAUCUAUGGUGAAAUGGUAUCUUAAAUUGAAAAAUAAAAGUGCAAUCCCUACUCCAGCUUCUUUAACCUUGUCCCUUCUCCAUCUCAUCUUUUUUUUCCCUUCAAUAACUUCUUAUGAUUGAGUUUAAUUGGGUAAUGUUUGAUCCUUAUAUAUAUUUGAUUGAAGAAAAAUAUUAAUAUUAUCUGAUAUUGAGCUUUAAAUAAUAGGAGAAGCCAAAGUGAAUUUAUUAUUUUUAAGAUUGAGGUUUUAUUUAACUAUUAAAACUGAUGACAUUGCUAUUAAAAAAUUAUAGUAAAAUUUAAAAUUAACUUGGAUCCAAUUAAAAAUAAAAAUAUGUUACUUAAGUGCUUUAUAUAAUAUAUGAGAAAAUGGCCAAAAGACCCCCCAACCUAUAGUCGGAUUCCCAACUACACACUCAUACUUUACGGGAGUCCUAUUACCCCCUUGGACUAUUUUAAAGUGUAGUUAUUUGCUCCCUAAAUGCUGAUGUGGCAAAGAAGGUGUAGUUCACUCUCUUUGGGAGAGUGAGAGAUAAAAAGAUGAUUAAAAUAUUAACUUUAUAAAUAUUUAAUUUAUUUCAUAUUAAUAUUUUAAUUAUAAAAAAAUAAAAAUUAUGUUUCCAUUUAUUUCUUUUACCUUCUUUAUCUUUUCCCUUCAAUGUUCAUAAGAUCCAUAGACACAGGCGGGCUCACCUCGACCACCAGGGUAAUCGCCGCCAUAUUCACUUUCACUUCCAAUUUCACCUCCACCGUCGCUGUAAAUCCGGUGAAAUCGUAUAUCUCCAGCGAACUAACAAUCACUUCCGGCUCAAUUUUAACGGACGGCUUUAGCACUGUUGUCACAAGGGAGUCCCAAUCUUCAAGUAAAUGUUGCCUAAUCGAUUCGAGAAGUUCAAAAUCAUUCAUAAAUUCGCUGUUCAUCAACUUUUCAUCACUAAGCCAAUUCAUAACUUCAAAUCACAUACUUUUCAUCAUAUCUCCACUUUUCAUCACUUUGAAAAUUUGUUGGUAGGUCAAAAUCAAAAUNNNNNNNNNNNNNNNNNNNNNNNNNNNNNNNNNNNNNNNNNNNNNNNNNNNNNNNNNNNNNNNNNNNNNNNNNNNNNNNNNNNNNNNNNNNNNNNNNNNNNNNNNNNNNNNNNNNNNNNNNNNNNNNNNNNNNNNNNNNNNNNNNNNNNNNNNNNNNNNNNNNNNNNNNNNNNNNNNNNNNNNNNNNNNNNNNNNNNNNNNNNNNNNNNNNNNNNNNNNNNNNNNNNNNNNNNNNUCUGUCUCUAGCCUUAGAGAACAAGAUCGAAGAUGUGGUAGUCAUGGCAUCCCGGUCGUCAAAUCUGCAGAAGCUUCAAAGAAAAAGAAAUGGAAGAAUGGAAAAGAAAGAGAAAAGGAGAAGAUGAAAAUAUAUAUAAAAAAAAGUAAAAUAUAAAAGAAUAAUUAAUUUUUUUUAUAUAAAAAAGGGGUAAUAUUACGUGGCAGCGCGUGUUGAUUACUACCUAAUACGAAUCUGGGCGUGAGUUUGUAGGGGGCUAGAUAUUUCACUUUUAAAAGGUUCAGGGGGGUGAUAGGACUCCCGUGAAGAAUAAGUGUGUAGUUGAGAAUUCGGUAAUAGCUUGGGGGUGCUUUUGGCCAUUUUCUCUAUAAUAUAUAUUAUCGUGAUUAUCAUGUUCUGAAUUAUCAAAAUUUCAAUAGUAAAUAUUUGAAAAAACAAGCGUGACACUCCUAGCAUAUACUGAAAAUCUUGAAGAAUCAUAAUAAAUAUUUGAAAAAAUUAUGUGACCCUCCAAGUAUUUACUGAAAAUCUUAAGAAUCAACAUAAGUUAUUGUUAAAGAAAAUUCUGGCCAAUAUUCAAAUGAUAAAUCAUUACUUUAAAAUCCUGACAAAUUACCAUAAGCUCUCUUAACAAUCAUUGGAACCAUGUUUUUAUUUUUUAGCAUGGAGACCAUGUUUUAAAGAUUUUUUCUUUAUGAAGCUAACUUUAAACUAUCGCAUCAAAAAUCUUAUUUAUGCAAAUCAUUUUUAAUUUUGUAUGUCAUGUAUAUGUCUGAAUUUCACGCCAGAUAUGAAGCUAUUAUAUGUCUAAGCUUGGCGAGGUCACAAAUCUAGUAAAAAUUGUAUGAAAGUUGACCUUGACAAGUAAUUAUAUAUUUGAUGCAUAAUUACUAUAUGUCUAAAGUAUAGUCUUGCCAGGACUACAACCUUAGUCAGUAAUGUUUGAAAGUUAACCUUGACACGAUCAUAACUUUAGUAAAAAUGUCUUCUAAAUAAAAAAUUUAAAAGCAUAACUAGUAAUUCCUUAACUUUCCUCCAAAUAUCAUUUAUCUUUUCUUUAUUCGACAACAAUGAAUUCAACUACUUCUUACUUUUCCCAUAGUUUUUGUGAUAGUUAAAUGAGCAUUAUAUUGAAUCAUUUGAAAUCUAAGUAAGAGAAUAAUUGAAAACUUUCCCAAUCAGAUAGAAGAGGAAUAACCUAACUAAUUAGGAAGAAUCGACUCGUUAUAUCUUAGAAGCUACUCCACUAGUACUUCAAUUGGAAAUAGAGAGUCAGAGAGGAAGAAAAUGGGGGAGGAAGAAAUAUGUGAAGGUUGGAGACUUACUGAGAUUUAUGAUCCCACCACAAGACGAGGCACCUCUGUUAAAACCACUUCAGGUAACCACUGAUCCACCGGAUGAUGUCUCUAUAAGGAUAAAAGGAAAAUUAGAAAAUGAAGGAAACAAAAAAAAAAGAAUAAACUGAAAACCUACCUCUGCUAGCUAAGAAGAAGAAAUGGCGAACAAGAGGAAGGUGUUGUGACCUAAAGCGAGUGGAAGAGGAAGGUUGGAUUCCACAAGGCUCCUUGCGGCGACACAGAGAGAAAGAUAGGGAGCUCAAAUUAGACACCGUACCUUUUAGGAAACAUGUUAUAGAAGUUGAUAGCCUCUCUUAGUGGGCUGGGCUUUUCGUUUUAGCGUUGUUUUUGGGCUAAACCAAUUUUGGCUUGGUCUUUUACUUAUUUGUACAGACUUAAUUAAUUCGAAAUAAAGGAGAUCGAUCUCAGAUAUUUUGUUUUUAAAAAAAUCUUAAAAGUUUUAUGUGUUUAAAGUUGGAUCUUGUGUAAGUUUAUCUAAAACUUCAAUCUAUGAUUUCUAAUUUAGCUUGGACCUAUGAUUCUUCUUGUAUCCUAAAUCAUCUUCAAUACAUCUCAUAUAGUUAUUAUCAUGUCAAAAUGAUAUAGUACCAGUCUAUAGUAUCUUCAUGGCAUAUGAGAUUUUUUUAAUAAUAUGUGUGGCUCUCAAAAUUCAUGAUAUGCAACUCUUUAAGAGUAAGCACAACUAUAUGCCCCAAAACAUUAAAGAUAAUUGAAUCUGGUCAAUGUUGCAGACGAGACAACGAAACAACUUCAUUUUGGGAAACCUUGACCCAAGUGUAGUUAUUGUCAUAACUCAUAAGCUUGGACACAGUCGUGACAUAUGUUAUAUUUUGCAUGGUCGCCACCCAGUUAUGAUCCUAUUGAUCUAAAGGAGUAUAAUGAGUUCCUUCGAAAUCAAGCAAGUAAGCAGACAUCUCCACAAGUAACGAUUGCUCAGCAUGAUCGACCAUCCAUUAAUGCUCAUAUACUAAGACAAGAUAUGAUGAGUUCCUUCAGUAUUGAGAAAGUAAGCAGACUUCUCUACAAAUAUCUUUUGUUGUUUAGCCUGAGCCCUAAUGAUUUUGCUGUUGUUAAUUUUGUUGCUUGUGUUUCACUGUCUAGUACUCUUGGAUUAUGGGUCAUGGACUAAGGUUCUUCUCAUCAUAUUUUUGGUAACAAAGCAUUUUUUUUCUGAUAUUGUUUAUUCACAAUAUCUUUGUGCUAUUAUUUUAGCCACUUGGAUUCAAACAAAACCCAAAGGGAUCGGACAAGCUAAACUCCAAUCUUCUUUCACUCAAGACUUUGUUCUUUUUGUCUAUUUUGCCCUUUUAAUCUUGCAUUUGUUAGUCGUUUGACGUGUGCUCUACAUUGUGGCAUAACAUUUUUUGAUAACUUUUUUAUCAUGCAAGAUUGCAGUACGAGACAGAAGCUUGAAUCACAAGGCCUUUACAAUCUUACCUCUUCAAAUUCCUUCACAACAUGCAUGCUCUAUUAUAGAUCCUCCCGACCUAAUUCCCAGACAUUUGGGACAUUCGAGUCUAUCUAAUGUGUAGAAAAAAUGGUGCCUAAUUUGUUUAGUUUAUCCAAAUUAGAUUGUUAGUCGUGUCAACUUGCGAAACAUACCCGUUCAUAUUUUUGCGUUAGUAUUGAGGGUUGUUCAAAGUCUAUUUUCUCGUUAGUUCAUUUUGAUAUUUGGGGUCCUAAUGGAUUCAAAUCAACCUUAGGAUUUUGUAAUUUCGUUAGUUUCACUUAUGAUGAUUCAAGAUCCACUUGUGUUUUCUUAAUAGAUCGUUUCAAGUUAUUAUUUGUAUUCAAACUUUUGCUGAAAUACAAAAUCAAUUUGGUGUAUCUUGAAACACCUCGGAAAUCAAACUUAAAACUUUCAGCAGAAAAACCAGCAGAAGCAGGUGAACCGCGACAGGGUUCAUGGACCGUGAAAGGAACCACGGUCCGUCGACCUAUCUGUAGGUUCACACCCAACCAAAAAGAGGUGGACCACGGGAGCCUUCACGGUCCGUGGACCACCCCACGAGCCGUGGGAAGGCUCGUGUAAGCCAUACAGAACCUCCCCAGCUUACGCAUAUGACCACGGAGCCCUCCAUGGGUCAUGGUCUUGAUGAUAGGCCGUGGGAGGGUCCGUGGACCUGAGCCAGCAGACCACCAGCCCAAGUGAAGAACCACAUCGACCUUCACGUUUCGUGGUCCUUCACACGAGUCGUGGUAGGGCUCGUGGUUGAACCACCCAAAACCAGUAGCUACUGGCCAAGGACCACGACUCACUUGACGGUCCAUGGUCCCUGUGACGGUCCCUCAUAGGGCCCAUGGUCGGCCCUCGUCAGAUUUUAAGUGGGAUCAUUUUGGUCUUUUUCCCUAUGUGUUGGACACUUAAACUACAUUGUUUAACCCCUAAAUUACGUAGUUUUGGUCAGUUUGAGCCUAAUAACUUAAUCAGAACUUACCCUAAUCAAUCAUUCACCAAAAACUAGAGCAAAAAGAAGAGAAUUCAGGCGUUAGCAUCCUCAAGAGCAGCAGCAAGGUUUUCUUCAGUUCCAGCCUUGAAAUUGAAAGAUUUCUCCAUGAAAUUAGUCACCAUGUAUGUGGGAUUUCACUAGUGGGUUCCUUUCACCCAUUAGCUCCCUAAAAUUCAAUCAUAUUCUAGAUUUCCUUCAUAUUAUCUAGACCUAGGAUUUCUAGAAUUUCAGAUAAUUAUUAUGAUUUAGUUGUUGUAACAUUCUUAAUCAGAUUAUCGUAUCUUAGUAUCGUUUUUGCGUAGAUUCUUGCAUGAAACUCAGAACCCUAGUUGUGUAGUUCUUUUAGUUCAUGAAUUACACUAGCUAGGAUAGAUAAACAAAUAUAUAUGCCUCAGUUUUCAGAUGUUUCAUUAUCAGUACUUAAUGUUGUAUUUUCAGUUAGCAUGUCAUAAUAUUGAGCUAUCCAGUUCACUUCAGUUAUGUUACAAUUUACAUAUUCUAGUUGGGAAUAGGCUUAUCACCGAGUUGGACUAGGGUCAGUCACCCUCAUAGUCCCAUGACUACGUGCCCCCGUAGGUUAAGUCCCCUAUGUGGGCAUCAUUUUAGUGAUCACGCCAGUCAUGCCUUUAUACCUCUGGAAAGGUAUAUUGGGUCUUCUCGAUGGGGUGUAUAGAUCUAACUCCACGUUUAGCUCACGUGGUUUUAUGUCGGUUAUUAGUAGCUCCCACAGUCAGAUUCUAUUGCAUUACCAGGUUAUCAGUUACUGGUCAAUAUGCAGUUUCAGCAUGUUAUAAAUUUGGUCAAUACAUUUAGUUUAGUUCAUAUUCAGUAUGUUCAAUAUAUUUAUCAUGCUCAUCUCAUAUCAUUGCUCAUUAUUCUUUGUUUAGAUAUGUAUAUUGUUCAGCUUUAUUCUAUCAUGCAUGGCUCAAUACAUUUUAAGUACUGACCCAUACUCUGCAAUACAUCUUCUCGUGAUGUAGGUUCAGGUCAUCAGCAUUCAGAUCACCCAUAGAUAGGUUCCCGAUCUCCAGUUCAGCAGUAUCAGUGGUGAGUCCUCAUUCUUCGAGAACAAUAGACAUUUUUUUUUUACUUUCAAUCUUUCAGUUUCAGUUUUGCUAGAGUUAGCUGGGGACAUCUCCCAGCAUCUCUAGUCAGUUAGAGAUAUGUAUUCAGACAUAGUUAGAUUCGGUUUUAGUUUGGAGUUUGAUCUUUCAGUUGCCAUUAAACUCACAGUUUAUACAUUCAUAUAGUAUUAGGUAUUCCCCAUUUCAGUUUAUAUCAUGAUUUUAAGAUUCCGCACAAUAUUUCUUACUUCAAUUUAUCUAGUAUGCUUAUGAUAUGCCAGCUCAGGGUUAGCUUAGGUUCACUCGUGAUCCUAAGUCCCGUGUUUAUGCCUCGGGGUAGCCUCGGGGAGUGACAUUUCUAUUCAUACUUUUUGCAAUGACAAUGCCUUAGAAUACUUAUCCUCUUAAUUUCAGGAAUUUAUGACUCACCCAAGGAAUUCUUGUAUGUAUACUCCUCAGCAAAACGGUGUAGCCGAAAAAAAGAAUAGGCAUUUUAUUAAGACUACUCGCACUCUUCUCCUUAAUUCCGAUGUUCUACUGUGAUUUAGGGCAAUAAAUAGAAUGAUGAAAUCUUCUAUUUAGAAACAUGUUUCACACGGCAUACUAUUUUCUCAGUCACAUCUAUCACUAUUCGCCCUCAUUUCCUUGGGAGUAGAUACUUUGUUCAUAACCUAGCUUAGCCCUAAGGAAAGAUAAAUCAAGCCUUCAUUCUCGUAAAUUCGUCUUUCUUGGUUACUCUCCAGCUCAAAAGGGGUAUUGUUUUUAUUUACCUUAUCUUCGUCGAUACCUUAUGUAGGACGAUGCCACAUUCUUUAAAUCUCAACCUUACUAUACAUCUUCUUAUCAUCCUGAUGUCUCUGAGGUCUUACUCAUACCUCUCAAGUCUUACAUGUACCGACGUUUGAGAAACCUACUAUUACUUCUACUUCUCCACUUGUAGUUCCAUCACCUUGACUUAUCAUCAGUUUCCCCGUCUACCACUAGUCUUAGAUGAAUUAUGUCAUGCGUCAAACAAUGUUGUUACUACGGACUUGCUUCCUCCUAGCCAACCGAUUGCAUUUCAUAAAGGUAUACAAUCCACUCGAAAUACUAACCCAUAUUAUACUUACUUGAGUUAUCAUAAUUUAUCAUCACCCCACUAUGCCUUUGUAUCAUUUGUCCUUUAUUUUCAUCCCUAAGACUAUGGGUGAAAUACUUUCUCAUUCUGGAUGGAGGUAGACUAUGAUUGAUGUGAUGUCUGCUUUACAUACGAGUGGUACUUGAGAGAUAGUCUCACUUCCCGUAGGUAAAUCUUCUAUUGGUUGUCAUUGGAUUAAUACAGUCAAAAUUGGUCUAGAUAGUUAGGUUGAUAAGGCUCACCUUGUUGCCAACGGGUAUACUCGGUAUUUGGGCUUAAAUUCUAGUGACACUUUCUCUCUUGAGACUAUGAUAACAUAUGUUCUUUUUCUAUCUAUGAAUGUCAUUCAUCAUUUGUCUCUUCAUUAUUUGGACAUUAAAAAUGUUUUUUCUGCAUGGUGAUCUUGAGGAAUAUAUCUAUAUGGAGCAACCAUCUGAUUUUAUUAUUUUGAGGAGUCUAGAAGCCUUAUAUGUCCAUUGCACAUGUCAAUCUAUGGUCUGAAACAAUCUUCUCGAGCAUGGUUUGGGAAGUUCAAAAUCGUAAUUUAUGAGUUAUGGCAUAACUUGUAGUGAAGCUGAUCACUCUGUAUUUUAUCGGCAUUUUCACCAAAUCUAUGAUCAAGAUGGUUAUUUACCUUGAUAUUAUCGUUACCGCCAACAAUAAUCAAGAUGGUAUCACUAAUUUGAAGAAACAUCUCUUUCAACAUUUUCAAACUAAAGACCUUGAUAGAUUAAAGUAUUUUCUAUGUUUUGAGUUUGCUUAGUCCAGAUCAAGUAUUGUUAUUUCGCAACGCAAGUAUGCUUUAGACAUUCUUGAGAGACUGGAAUGAUUAGUGUAGACCCAUUGACACUCUUAUGGAUCUGAAUGCUAAAUUCCUUUCGAGACGGCUGGUUAGGAAGUUGAACUUUCUCAAAGUGACUAGACCUGGAAACUCUUUUCCAAUGAAUGUUGUAAAUAAGUUUAUGACUUCCCCCUGUAAUAGUCGUUGGGAUGCAAUUUUUUGUAUUGUGUGAUAUAUAAAUUCAGCUCCCGGUAAAAGAUUACUUUUUGAGGAUCAAGACCAUGUCCAUAUCACUAGAUAUACAAAUGGUGAUUGGUUAGAUAUUGUAUUUUAGUAGAAGAUAAUUUGGUAUCAUGGAAGAGUAAGCAACUGAGUGUGGUUGCUCGAUUUAGUGCAGAAGCAAAAUAGCGAGCAAUGGCUAUAGGAACUUGUGAGAUAGCUUGGUCAAACAGUUGUUGAGAGAAGUAAAACUUGUAGAAAUCAAUUCGAUUGAAAUUGUGUAUGAUAAUCAAGUGAUCCUUCAUAUUGCAUCAAAUCCAAUGUUUCAUGAGAGGACUAAGCACGGUGAGAUUGAUUAUCACUUUGUGAAAGAAAAGAUAUUCUCAUGAAAUAUUGUUACAAAAUUUGUGAAGUUGAGUAAUCAACUAGCACAUAUCUUCACCAAGUCUCUCACCAGUCCUCGCAUCAAUUAUAUUUGUCACAAGCUUGGUACAUAAGACUUGUAUACACCCGCUUGAGAGGGAGUGUUAGAAUAGGAAUAGAAACAUGAAUAGUAGAGAAUUCUACUUGGAACAUGAAUAUCAUAUAGCAUCAUACUUGAAAAAGGAUUAUAUAAUAUCUAGAAAUAGGGUCUCAAUGUAAUAAUGUAGAUACACAACUCAAUAAUACUCUUCUCUUAUAUUUCUUCCAAUUUGAAUAUGACUUGUGCUGCUUAAUAUCUCCUUAUUAGCAUGUUAUAAAUAUGUGCUUUAAACUUGUUCUUUAAGAGAUUGUAUUUUCCCCAUGUUUGCAUUCUACAUUUAUGUUUUAUUUAUGUAAGUUUUUAGAAUAUUAUGCUCUAAACUGAACAUUUUUUAUCCGGCCCAUUCAUUUGCGGAUACUAUUAGGGUGUUUAGUUUUUUUAACCCCUUGAUGGAAAACUUGCCUCCGCCACUAAAACCAGCCAAAUAGGAGAGCACAUCAACAAAUACCAAAACCAAAGUAUAUAGAAUUUUGAAAAAAAAAAAAAAAAAAAAAGGAACCAAGAACUUACCGAGGUAUCAUGAAUGGAGACGGUAGAGACAAGUGACGCCAUCUCGUCAAUGAACACACCACAAGAAAGGACCAUCUUUCAGGCUUCAGCAACAACCAGUACACCAGCAGGCAACAUCCAGCACGCAGUAGCAACAGAGCAUUGUAGUCUUGCAGACUUGAAGUGCAAGAGGAAGUCGACUGCUAAGAGAUUGAGGAGGAGAAAAAAAUAUACAGCUAGAAAAACCCUAGAAGAAACAGAUU
RNAcentral lists this long non-coding RNA (30962 nucleotides) under Solanum tuberosum (potato). RNAcentral describes it as "long non-coding RNA (STUB_LNC001365)". Lineage: Eukaryota; Viridiplantae; Streptophyta; Magnoliopsida; Solanales; Solanaceae. The record is from RNAcentral.